This 1747-nucleotide long non-coding RNA is filed under the name Phoenix dactylifera (date palm). RNAcentral's name for it is "long non-coding RNA (PDAC_LNC006151)". The record is from RNAcentral. Lineage: Eukaryota; Viridiplantae; Streptophyta; Magnoliopsida; Arecales; Arecaceae.
GAAUGUGAUGCUUUAUAUUUGAUAUUUGCAUCUGUGAUUUAAGUUUAUUAUCUUCCAAGUUGUGCUCAAUCAAUAUUAUAAAUAGGUUGAUUCAUAGGUGAUACCUAUAUUGGAAGACGUCUCAUGAGAACUGGGAACUCCGAAGAGAUUUCUUACAUAGCUGGUCUGUGAAGUUUGGCUAUAGAUCUCUCUUGUUUUACUACUUUCGGACAAUAGGUUUCAAUACUCUAGCUGUUAACAGAGUUCUGUAUCAUUUCAAUGCAUUAUGAAACAGUAAGCUCUGCAAUAUAUUGAAUCCAUGGCACAUGCCGGUAAGUUUUGAAACAUGGCAGUGCCGGUGCUAUAAUCAGAGCAUGUGAAAUGGAUACAUGUGAAAUGGUACAUGUAGCGGUGCCAUAAUGAGUAUUAUGUAGCAAUGUUGUUAAAUGUAAUGCUUCAAGUUUAUAUAUAAUGUUAGCAUGACUAGGGAAAAGCAAGCUCUGAAACAUGGUGAAACAGGGGAUACAAUGCAGCCACAGUAAAACAAGAACCCUUUGUGUUAAGCCCCGGUGCAGCCACAUUAACUUAUUUUACAUGCUGAAGCAAUGUAGCCACAAUGUAACAUGACCCUUAAUAUAGUGUAACAUGUGAAACCCUUGCAACAUGCUGAAACAUACUGAAAUAGUGACUGGGGAUGCAGUGAAGCCUUUGAUCUAGUUUGAUAGCAUAGUUUCAGAAUUAUGGAACUUGGAAUCUGAGCACAGUUUCAAAGCUCUGAAAUGUAGAAUCUAAGCACAAUUUCAGAGCUCUCAAAUAUGGAAGAGAUGCACAGUUUCAGAGCUAUGAAACAUUGAAACUGUGGGUCCAUUUUUUUGAGCUCUGAAACAUAGAAACUGAGCAUAGUUUCAAGCUUUGAAACAUGGAAUGUAAGCGCAGUUUCAGAAUCUGAAACAUAGAAUCUGAGCUUCAAAAUAGUUAGCUUUGAAAGAUUUCCAGUGCUCUGAAACAGUUCUAGUUAGCUUGAAACAUUGAACAUUGAUCCGAAGCAUUGAACUGAAAAUUGAACUGAUACAUGGUUACAAUGAAACAUGAGCUAGCAUUAAACUUAUAAAACACUGAACAUUAAAGCAUUAAAACAUUGACUGCACAUUGUGAACCCUCCGCUUUGCUGGUUAUGACCUAACAUGUGUCAACAAGCAAUCUGAAAUAUGUGCCAGUGAACUGCACGUUGAACCUCAAACAUGUGCUACUGAUGCUGAAACUGCAUAUUGAACUGCUGCUUAUGACAUCUAUGAAAUAUAUGCCAUUUAAGUAAACAAUCAACUGCACAUUGAACUAAACGUUGAACUUAUCAAACAUUGAACUAGCAUUGGAUGAACAUUGUAAUUGCAUUGUCUGAACAUUGAACUAACAUUGAAUAAGUGAUAUUGUCUGACCAUUGAACAUUGAACAUUGAACUAAACAUUGAAAUUACAUCCACAGCAACUAAACAUUAAAUAGUUAACACAAUGUUCCAGUUAACACAAAACACUCUUCCAACUAACAGCAAUUGUUGUAAACCUAAGAUCCACAUCAAAUAACAUCCAAAGUAGAUAUAGACCGUUCCAGCUAAAAACAAUUUUUCUAAACGUCACCAACACUGCUGCCCUGAGUUUUUGACUGAGAAGACAGUGGCCGACUAGAUCCACCAAUGUGCUUUCUCCUUCUUGCAUCAAUAUAAGCUCUUAGGGAACCCAUAGUAACCUAGGUUGCACCUUCUCCACUCAAA